GCUACCCUAUAAGUAGGCCCCGGCGGGCGCUGUUGGUCUCUCUCUCUCUCUCUCGGCCGUCGACGCCAUCUUGUGGGCGCCCGGUGGCCGCCUCCAUCCGCCUCCAUCCGCCGCCCGCCCGCGGGGACUGAGCGCGGCGUCCCCGCGCCGCCAUGAGGGCCAAGUGGCGAAAGAAGCGAAUGCGCAGGCUGAAGCGCAAGAGGAGGAAGAUGAGGCAGAGGUCCAAGUAGGCGCCGCGCGGAGCAGGGGGGCGCGGGGCAGCGCAGCCCCCGGUGCCCCCAGCGCGGCCCCCCAGCCCCGGCUGCCUGGGCUGCCUCCCGCCCCCGUAGCUGCCUGCGGCCCCCCCUGUAUAAAUAAAGCCUGGUUUGGUGGCA
Long non-coding RNA from Dromaius novaehollandiae (emu), 374 nucleotides. RefSeq lists it as uncharacterized. Lineage: Eukaryota; Metazoa; Chordata; Aves; Casuariiformes; Dromaiidae. The record is from RefSeq and is a predicted model, not a curated record. The transcript is spliced from 3 exons.